Neltuma alba is the source of this 194-nucleotide long non-coding RNA. RefSeq lists it as uncharacterized. The record is from RefSeq and is a predicted model, not a curated record. The transcript is spliced from 3 exons. NCBI's taxonomy places the organism in Eukaryota, Viridiplantae, Streptophyta, Magnoliopsida, Fabales, Fabaceae.
AGGCUUCGGUCUUUGCCGCAACUUCCGUCAAAUCUAUUACAUAUAGGGGCUGAAGGUUGUUCAUCACUAAAACAUUACGGAUGUGCAGAUCAAUUAUGGGAUUUCAUUGAAUCAUUUCAACCUCAGGUUCACAACCAUUUAAAUAUGAAGUCAGCAAUUAUAAGAGGGGAUUCAGAAAUUUUUUUUUCCCUCCG